Molecule: ribosomal RNA, 446 nt
Filed under: uncultured Hyphomicrobium sp.
Lineage: Bacteria; Pseudomonadati; Pseudomonadota; Alphaproteobacteria; Hyphomicrobiales; Hyphomicrobiaceae
Description: bacterial SSU rRNA
Rfam family: Bacterial small subunit ribosomal RNA
Source: RNAcentral
UUACCUACGGGAGGCUGCAGUGGGGAAUAUUGGACAAUGGGCGCAAGCCUGAUCCAGCCAUGCCGCGUGAGUGACGAAGGCCUUAGGGUUGUAAAGCUCUUUUGGCGGGGACGAUAAUGACGGUACCCGCAGAAUAAGCCCCGGCUAACUUCGUGCCAGCAGCCGCGGUAAUACGAAGGGGGCUAGCGUUGUUCGGAAUUACUGGGCGUAAAGCGCACGUAGGCGGAUUUGUUAGUCAGGGGUGAAAUCCCGGGGCUCAACCUCGGAACUGCCUUUGAUACUGCAAAUCUCGAGUCCGGAAGAGGUGAGUGGAAUUCCUAGUGUAGAGGUGAAAUUCGUAGAUAUUAGGAAGAACACCAGUGGCGAAGGCGGCUCACUGGUCCGGUACUGACGCUGAGGUGCGAAAGCGUGGGGAGCAAACAGGAUUAGAUACCCUUGUAGUCAAA